RNAcentral lists this long non-coding RNA (2408 nucleotides) under Triticum aestivum (bread wheat). RNAcentral describes it as "long non-coding RNA (TAES_LNC022313)". The record is from RNAcentral. Lineage: Eukaryota; Viridiplantae; Streptophyta; Magnoliopsida; Poales; Poaceae.
GAGAAAUUAGAACACUAACACAGGCGAACAUCAUCACACAAGAGAAUCAACAAGACUAGAACACAUAGGUUUAUCUAACAUGUACAGAGAGAAGAAUCAUGGAUAUAGGACAGACUUGAUAUAACUCACAUUACAAACACACACAUAUGUAUAUAUAUCACAGGACACCACACACAUAUGAAGAAUACUGUUUCACUAAACAAAGUAUGACAGGUCAAAUAUUUAUCAAAGUGACAAGGUAUCAACUAGUCAGGACAAAGGACAUACUAAUCAAGCAUUUAUAUUAAACUUCAAAACUGAACCAAAUAGUAGGAUAUUACACUUAUCAAAUCUGAACAUUACAUAGUACUGAUUAUUACACUUCUGAAGGUCACAGAAAUUUGAGAGAGAGAGAGAGAGAGAGAGGGAACAGCAGCAAGAUUGGGAAUGGAGCAGUAGCAGGGACGUGAGGAGAAGCAGCAGCAGGAGGUUGAGAAAAGAAGUAGCAGCAGGUUGGGGCAAGGGAAGGUGAAGAGCAGCAGCAGGUUCAGUAAAAGGAGAGGACCAGCGAGAUGCACGGAGAAGAAAGAAGCAGAGAUGAGGUGGCAGCAGUUCAGCAGGGGAUUCAGAGGAGGAGCAGCAACAAGGGGCGCAAGAAGAAGCAGCAGCAGGUCAUGUUGAGGAAGAAGCAGGAGGUUCGUGGGGAAGAAGAAGAAGCAAGAGCAGCAGAGUUAAGGGAAGAGAAGAAGAGAAGCAGCGGAGCAGCAGCAGUUUCGUGCAGAUGAGGGUUUCAGCAGGGAGGCGCAAAUGGAUGGUGAUGUAUGGGUGGUGCUGGUGACGCGGUGGUGCUGAUGGCACGCCGCCACGCCGGCCUGGCCGCGGCGGCGGCCGGAGGUGGAGAAGGAGGGGUGAGGGAGAGAGAUGUGUGCCAGGCUCCAUUGGAUCCCUCCAGCGCCUAGGGAUUUUGUUCCCCUCCUCUCAUCUGCACUUUGUGAUUCAGCCCUCUUACUUCUCUUCUUUCUUCACAAGAAGAUCCCUCCAACUUUAGCUUGGCCCCUCUCGUUACAUCUUUUCUUCACGGCGGGUCCAUUCUUCCUCCUCUUCUUCGUUCUCUUAGCCACUUAGUCUGGAUCUUGAAGAUUUAUAGUGCCUUUGCGCACAUUUCUGCAAAAUAGACCAAAGACUAGUAAAUGAUCCUUUAAUAUGAUUUUCAUGCAAAUAUUCAAUAUUUCACAGCAAUAAUUGAUGGACAUAUCUCAAUAAACCGCAUAUUUGAGUGCCAAAAGAUGUAUAGGAAAUGUGCUUAUCAAGUUCCCCCACACUUAAAUCUUUACUUGUCCUCAAGUAAAGGCAUAUGACAAGAGCAGGAUAGUGAAUAGUGAGCUGACUAGAGAAUGCCAAGUGAAGUAGAUCUCUAAACAAUGCAUGCUUCAAACUUAGUUAAUGGAAAUUAAUGGUAGAGUGCUACAAAGCAGUAGGAUAUUAGUAGACUUGACCAUUUUAAACUUUUACAAUGAUAAAAGAAGAUUAGCAAGUUCAAAUGUUGAUUGUGCCAAAAGGUUCCUAAAGAGAGCAUGAUCCCAAAAACAAAAAGAAGUUAAACUUGUGAUCAGAUCACUUAUUACCAGGAACAAAAAAUUGCAGUUGAAAGCACUUAUUGUAUUUGAAGAAAGUAAUGAUAAUGUUUUUUCGAUCUCACCAAAGGAAAAUACCACCGAUCCCGAGAACAUGAUAUACACCUGGCUCGACCAAUUAUUAGUUAGUUUUUUUGUUUGUCUCCCCAAAGGAACAUACCACCGAUCCAGAGAACAUGGUAUACACCUGGUUCGACAAUUACAAUUUUAUUAGUAAUUACUGCCCGAGCUAACCCGAUUUCACAUGCCACCGAUAGUCAGAAUUAUUUAUUCAUUAUAAGAUAUACUUUUAUUUUUAUUUUUCAAAUGAACAAAAACAAGAAUCAUCACUCAUCCAUGUCUAGUUCACAUGCUACCAAUCCAGAGAACAUAGCAUGCUAAUCCAUAGUGGUAAGUGAUUGCUCUAAAUGGGAACACAUUUGGCACAAAAUCAGCAUCUAAACAUGGUGAUCUAGGUGUAUCAAUGUAAAUGCAGAAAAUGAUGGAAGUUUUCUAGUGUACUAGGGCUUUGAGCACUCAAAACUAAUAACUUCCACUAAUUUCAGCAAAGCAAGCAAUAUGUAGGUCACUAGUUUACAAGGCAUUCAACAAUCAGUUCUCAUGUUCACAUCAAGCACAAUAUGUCAAAUAAAAUUCAGUGGGACAUCAUUUAAGAAAUGGCUCAAGCAACUCAAAUAUCGAAUGAUUUCAGCAUUAUCAACGGAUGAUAUAUUCAGAUUGGGGUCAUGAAACAGCUCACCGGGCUUUGAUGGUGUAGCACUCGCUCGAUCAUCUCUAAGCUACUCCUCUUCUCCU